RNAcentral lists this ribosomal RNA (1072 nucleotides) under uncultured eukaryote. Its description in RNAcentral is "bacterial SSU rRNA". It matches the Rfam family "Eukaryotic small subunit ribosomal RNA", at positions 118 to 1090 of the family's 1831-position model. The record is from RNAcentral.
UAUUUGAUAGUGCCUUUACUUGGAUAACUGUUGGAAUCCGAGAGCUAAUACAUGCAAAUGGCUCUGACUAGGUGCAAGCCUGGAAGGAGUGUAUUUAUUAGAUGUGAAACCAAUGCUGGGUAUUCCAAACUGCGCGUUGGGGGCAACCCCGGCGUGUGGGCUCAGAUUGUAUGGUGAAUCAUGAUAACUCUGCGAAUCGCAUGACCUUGCGUCGGCGAUGAUUCAUUCAAAUUUCUGCCCUAUCAACUUGACGAUAGUAUAGAGGACUAUCGUGGUUUUAACGGGUGACGGAGCAUUAGGGUGCGAUGCCGGAGAGGGAGCCUGAGAAACGGCUACCACGUCUACGGGCGGCAGCAGGCGCGUAAAUUACCCAAUCCUGACACAGGGAGGUAGUGACAAUAAAUAACAAUACUCGCCCCGAAUAGGGGAGAGUAAUUGGAAUGAGAACGAUUUAAAACUACUAACGAGUAGCAAUUAGAGGGCAAGUCUGGUGCCAGCAGCCGCGGUAAUUCCAGCUCUAAUAGCGUAUUUUAAAGUUGUUGCAGUUAAAACGCUCGUAGUUGGACCUUAGGGUUUGGUGGCGUCGGUCCGCUGUUAAAAGUGAGUACCGGCCCAUCGGCUCUCCUUAUGAGAUACUCCCCUGUCGGGCUUAACUGCUCGGCAGGAGCAGCGGCGUCGGGUUGGGAGGCGGGCAACCGUCGCUUGGUCAGGCGUCGCCGGGUUCUCAUUCGUUUACUUUGAAUAAAUUAGAGUGUUCAAAGCAGGCACAUUAACGCCUUGAAUAAUCUAGCAUGGGAUAAUGGAAUAGGCUGUCGGCUUAUUUCGUUGGUUUCUAAGCCAGACAGAAUGAUUAAGAGGGACAGUUGGGGGGUUUUCGUAUUCAAUUGUCAGAGGUGAAAUUCUUGGAUUUGUUGAAGACGAACUACUGCGAAAGCAUCAACCAAGGAUGUUUUCAUUAAUCAAGAACGAAAGUUAGGGGAUCGAAGACGAUCAGAUACCGUCGUAGUCUUAACCAUAAACGAUGCCGACCAGCAUUCGGAGACGUUACAUUGAUGACUCCCCGAGCAGCUUG